CUGCCCCGCCCCUGGCGCGGGGCAAGGCGCGGUUUCCAUUCAUCCGCUGCCCCGCGCUUUCAGGUCCUGCAGGGCGCCUCACUGCCUUUAGUGACUGGAGGCGGUCCGGGUGGACAGACUUUACAGAAAGCCACAUUCCGUCUAGGUGCCAAAUACUGCGUGUCAAACAGUCCCAAUCCCUCAGUGAGUCGGGGAGAUGAGAAACAAAGGCUUGGGGGAGUCCAGUCGUCUGAGGUCACACUGCUGGAAUGAGUCUUUUUGACAGCAGCCUCUUCAAAUCAGGCUGACAUUAGAAAAACAGUGCUAGAAGAGGCGGGAGGAGGAGGUGAGGAGGAGGAAGAGGAAAAAAGGGUGAGGAGGAGGAGUUUCCUUCAACUUGACAGAAGGGAAAAGUUUAAAGAAAUCUUUUUAUCCAGGUUUGUAUCCUAGAAAUAAAGUUCAUAGAUAUCAGGCUAUGAUAUAUUCC
Molecule: long non-coding RNA, 466 nt
Filed under: Chinchilla lanigera (long-tailed chinchilla)
Lineage: Eukaryota; Metazoa; Chordata; Mammalia; Rodentia; Chinchillidae
Description: lncRNA (ENSCLAG00000026840.1)
Source: RNAcentral